UCUUACACGGAUGAGACUGAUCACACCUGAUCAGUGAAAA
This 40-nucleotide small RNA is filed under the name Arabidopsis thaliana (thale cress). Its description in RNAcentral is "ATSL058400". The record is from RNAcentral. Lineage: Eukaryota; Viridiplantae; Streptophyta; Magnoliopsida; Brassicales; Brassicaceae.